This 1765-nucleotide ribosomal RNA is filed under the name Campylobacter jejuni. RNAcentral's name for it is "partial 23S ribosomal RNA". It matches the Rfam family "Bacterial large subunit ribosomal RNA", at positions 1 to 1786 of the family's 2925-position model. The record is from RNAcentral. Lineage: Bacteria; Pseudomonadati; Campylobacterota; Epsilonproteobacteria; Campylobacterales; Campylobacteraceae.
AGGUAAGCUACUAAGAGCGAAUGGUGGAUGCCUUGACUGGUAAAGGCGAUGAAGGACGUACUAGACUGCGAUAAGCUACGGGGAGCUGUCAAGAAGCUUUGAUCCGUAGAUUUCCGAAUGGGGCAACCCAAUGUAUAGAGAUAUACAUUACCUAUAUAGGAGCGAACGAGGGGAAUUGAAACAUCUUAGUACCCUCAGGAAAAGAAAUCAAUAGAGAUUGCGUCAGUAGCGGCGAGCGAAAGCGCAAGAGGGCAAACCCAGUGCUUGCACUGGGGGUUGUAGGACUGCAAUGUGCAAGAGGUAAGUUUAGCAGAACAUUCUGGAAAGUAUAACCAUAGAGGGUGAUAGUCCCGUAUGCGAAAAACAAACCUUAGCUAGCAGUAUCCUGAGUAGGGCGGGACACGAGGAAUCCUGUCUGAAUCCGGGUCGACCACGAUCCAACCCUAAAUACUAAUACCAGAUCGAUAGUGCACAAGUACCGUGAGGGAAAGGUGAAAAGAACUGAGGUGAUCAGAGUGAAAUAGAACCUGAAACCAUUUGCUUACAAUCAUUCAGAGCCCUAUGUAGCAAUACAGGGUGAUGGACUGCCUUUUGCAUAAUGAGCCUGCGAGUUGUGGUGUCUGGCAAGGUUAAGCAAACGCGAAGCCGUAGCGAAAGCGAGUCUGAAUAGGGCGCUUAGUCAGAUGCUGCAGACCCGAAACGAAGUGAUCUAUCCAUGAGCAAGUUGAAGCUAGUGUAAGAACUAGUGGAGGACUGAACCCAUAGGCGUUGAAAAGCCCCGGGAUGACUUGUGGAUAGGGGUGAAAGGCCAAUCAAACUUCGUGAUAGCUGGUUCUCUCCGAAAUAUAUUUAGGUAUAGCGUUGUGUCGUAAUAUAAGGGGGUAGAGCACUGAAUGGGCUAGGGCAUACACCAAUGUACCAAACCCUAUCAAACUCCGAAUACCUUAUAUGUAAUCACAGCAGUCAGGCGGCGAGUGAUAAAAUCCGUCGUCAAGAGGGAAACAACCCAGACUACCAGCUAAGGUCCCUAAAUCUUACUUAAGUGGAAAACGAUGUGAAGUUACUUAAACAACCAGGAGGUUGGCUUAGAAGCAGCCAUCCUUUAAAGAAAGCGUAAUAGCUCACUGGUCUAGUGAUUUUGCGCGGAAAAUAUAACGGGGCUAAAGUAAGUACCGAAGCUGUAGACUUAGUUUACUAAGUGGUAGGAGAGCGUUCUAUUUGCGUCGAAGGUAUACCGGUAAGGAGUGCUGGAGCGAAUAGAAGUGAGCAUGCAGGCAUGAGUAGCGAUAAUUAAUGUGAGAAUCAUUAACGCCGUAAACCCAAGGUUUCCUACGCGAUGCUCGUCAUCGUAGGGUUAGUCGGGUCCUAAGUCGAGUCCGAAAGGGGUAGACGAUGGCAAAUUGGUUAAUAUUCCAAUACCAACAUUAGUGUGCGAUGGAAGGACGCUUAGGGCUAAGGGGGCUAGCGGAUGGAAGUGCUAGUCUAAGGUCGUAGGAGGUUGUACAGGCAAAUCCGUAUAACAAUACUCCGAGAACUGAAAGGCUUUUUGAAGUCUUCGGAUGGAUAGAAGAACCCCUGAUGCCGUCGAGCCAAGAAAAGUUUCUAAGUUUAGCUAAUGUUGCCCGUACCGUAAACCGACACAGGUGGGUGGGAUGAGUAUUCUAAGGCGCGUGGAAGAACUCUCUUUAAGGAACUCUGCAAAAUAGCACCGUAUCUUCGGUAUAAGGUGUGGUUAGCUUUGUAUUAGGAUUUACUCCGAAAGCAA